CGGACGGGUGAGUAACGCGUGAGAAUCUGCCUUCAGGUCGGGGACAACCACUGGAAACGGUGGCUAAUACCCGAUGUGCGCAACGUGAAAGAUUUAUCGCCUGAAGAGGAGCUCGCGUCUGAUUAGCUAGUUGGUGGGGUAAAAGCUCACCAAGGCGACGAUCAGUAGCUGGUCUGAGAGGAUGAUCAGCCACACUGGGACUGAGACACGGCCCAGACUCCUACGGGAGGCAGCAGUGGGGAAUUUUCCGCAAUGGGCGAAAGCCUGACGGAGCAAGACCGCGUGAGGGAGGAAGGCUCUUGGGUUGUAAACCUCUUUUCUCAGGGAAGAACAAAAUGACGGUACCUGAGGAAUCAGCCUCGGCUAACUCCGUGCCAGCAGCCGCGGUAAUACGGAGGAGGCAAGCGUUAUCCGGAAUUAUUGGGCGUAAAGCGUCCGCAGGUGGCACUUCAAGUCUGUCGUCAAAGACUGGGGCUUAACCCUGGAAAGGCGGUGGAAACUGAAGCGCUAGAGUGUGGUAGGGGUAGAGGGAAUUCCCGGUGUAGCGGUGAAAUGCGUAGAGAUCGGGAAGAACAUCGGUGGCGAAAGCGCUCUACUGGACCACAACUGACACUCAGGGACGAAAGCUAGGGGAGCGAAUGGGAUUAGAUACCCCAGUAGUC
RNAcentral lists this ribosomal RNA (662 nucleotides) under uncultured bacterium. RNAcentral describes it as "bacterial SSU rRNA". It matches the Rfam family "Bacterial small subunit ribosomal RNA", at positions 99 to 795 of the family's 1533-position model. The record is from RNAcentral.